UCUCAUAGGGGAUGGGAAACAUUAUUAGAGUUUUGAUCGCAUGUAAGUCAUAACAAGGUAACCGUAGUGGAAGUUGCGGUUGGA
Molecule: ribosomal RNA, 84 nt
Filed under: Crustomastix stigmatica
Lineage: Eukaryota; Viridiplantae; Chlorophyta; Mamiellophyceae; Dolichomastigales; Crustomastigaceae
Description: partial Bacterial small subunit ribosomal RNA
Source: RNAcentral